This 439-nucleotide ribosomal RNA is filed under the name uncultured bacterium. Its description in RNAcentral is "bacterial SSU rRNA". It matches the Rfam family "Bacterial small subunit ribosomal RNA", at positions 360 to 793 of the family's 1533-position model. The record is from RNAcentral.
AAUAUUGCACAAUGGGCGCAAGCCUGAUGCAGCCAUGCCGCGUGUAUGAAGAAGGCCUUCGGGUUGUAAAGUACUUUCAGCAGUGAGGAAGUGGGUAUGUUAAUAGCAUAUUCAUUUGACGUUAGCUGCAGAAGAAGCACCGGCUAACUCCGUGCCAGCAGCCGCGGUAAUACGGAGGGUGCGAGCGUUAAUCGGAAUUACUGGGCGUAAAGCGCAUGCAGGUGGUUUGUUAAGUCAGAUGUGAAAGCCCGGGGCUCAACCUCGGAAUUGCAUUUGAAACUGGCAAACUAGAGUACUGUAGAGGGGGUAGAAUUUCAGGUGUAGCGGUGAAAUGCGUAGAGAUCUGAAGGAAUACCGGUGGCGAAGGCGGCCCCCUGGACAGAUACUGACACUCAGAUGCGAAAGCGUGGGGAGCAAACAGGAUUAGAUACCCUGGUAG